UUCCCCUUUUUCUGCGGGUGUAAUUGCAGCUGAUGGUUUGUCAACUCAUUCUCGUAGUCAUGGUGGAGGAUUUGCUGUUCGGACUGAGCCUUGCAUGG
Hibiscus syriacus is the source of this 98-nucleotide long non-coding RNA. RefSeq lists it as uncharacterized. The record is from RefSeq and is a predicted model, not a curated record. Lineage: Eukaryota; Viridiplantae; Streptophyta; Magnoliopsida; Malvales; Malvaceae. The transcript is spliced from 3 exons.